This 76-nucleotide transfer RNA is filed under the name Serratia symbiotica. Its description in RNAcentral is "transfer RNA Glycine". It matches the Rfam family "tRNA". From Rfam's summary of the family: Transfer RNA (tRNA) molecules are approximately 80 nucleotides in length. Their secondary structure includes four short double-helical elements and three loops (D, anti-codon, and T loops). RNAcentral also lists the same sequence under 1 other name. The record is from RNAcentral. Lineage: Bacteria; Pseudomonadati; Pseudomonadota; Gammaproteobacteria; Enterobacterales; Yersiniaceae.
GCGGGAAUAGCUCAGUUGGUAGAGUACGACCUUGCCAAGGUCGGGGUCGCGAGUUCGAAUCUCGUUUCCCGCUCCA